Molecule: ribosomal RNA, 729 nt
Filed under: Arthrobacter sp. YIM 227
Lineage: Bacteria; Bacillati; Actinomycetota; Actinomycetes; Micrococcales; Micrococcaceae
Description: bacterial SSU rRNA
Rfam family: Bacterial small subunit ribosomal RNA
Source: RNAcentral
CAGUCGAACGAUGAUCCCAGCUUGCUGGGGGAUUAGUGGCGAACGGGUGAGUAACACGUGAGUAACCUGCCCUUGACUCUGGGAUAAGCCUGGGAAACUGGGUCUAAUACCGGAUACGACCAUCUGGCGCAUGUCAUGGUGGUGGAAAGCUUUAUUGUGGUUUUGGAUGGACUCGCGGCCUAUCAGCUUGUUGGUGGGGUAAUGGCCUACCAAGGCGACGACGGGUAGCCGGCCUGAGAGGGUGACCGGCCACACUGGGACUGAGACACGGCCCAGACUCCUACGGGAGGCAGCAGUGGGGAAUAUUGCACAAUGGGCGCAAGCCUGAUGCAGCGACGCCGCGUGAGGGAUGACGGCCUUCGGGUUGUAAACCUCUUUCAGUAGGGAAGAAGCGAAAGUGACGGUACCUGCAGAAGAAGCGCCGGCUAACUACGUGCCAGCAGCCGCGGUAAUACGUAGGGCGCAAGCGUUAUCCGGAAUUAUUGGGCGUAAAGAGCUCGUAGGCGGUUUGUCGCGUCUGCUGUGAAAGACCGGGGCUCAACUCCGGUUCUGCAGUGGGUACGGGCAGACUAGAGUGCAGUAGGGGAGACUGGAAUUCCUGGUGUAGCGGUGAAAUGCGCAGAUAUCAGGAGGAACACCGAUGGCGAAGGCAGGUCUCUGGGCUGUAACUGACGCUGAGGAGCGAAAGCAUGGGGAGCGAACAGGAUUAGAUACCCUGGUAGUCCAUGC